AUGUUAGACACAUCUGGUCUCUCUAAGGCAUGGUGGGGGGAGGCGAUAUUGACAGCAUGUCAUGUCCUAAACCGAGUCCCCACAAAGAACAAAGAGAUAACUCCAUUCGAGGAAUGGGAGAAGAAAAGGUUAAAACUCUCUUAUCUGCGAACAUGGGGUUGUUUGGCGAAAGUCAAUGUUCCAAUUCCAAAGAAGCGGAAGCUUGGACCAAAGAUUGUGGAUUGUGUUUUCCUGGGAUAUGCUUUUCAUAGCAUUGGCUAUAGGUUCUUGGUUGUAAAAUCUGAGGUACCUGACAUGCAUGUCGGUACGAUCAUGGAGUCGAAUGAUGCGACUUUCUUUGAAGAUAUCUUUCCCAUGAAGGAUAUGGCUACCUCAUCUAAUCAGGAGAUGCCUAGUUCAUCGAAUCAGGAACCAGUUACAAUUACCAAACCUGCCAUUUCGAUGGAACACUUUGAAAGUCCUGUGGAGGAAAACAAUGAAGUUCCUACUAGGAGCAAGAGACAGAGGACUGCAAAGUCCUUUGGUGAUGAUUUUCUUGUGUAUCUCAUAGAUGACACUCCCAGUUCUAUUUCAGAGGCCUAUGCAUUUGAAGAUGCUGACUACUAG
Molecule: ribosomal RNA, 606 nt
Filed under: Triticum aestivum (bread wheat)
Lineage: Eukaryota; Viridiplantae; Streptophyta; Magnoliopsida; Poales; Poaceae
Description: partial small subunit ribosomal RNA
Source: RNAcentral